ACACUCCUACGGGAGGCAGCAGUGGGGAAUUUUGGACAAUGGGCGAAAGCCUGAUCCAGCCAUGCCGCGUGCAGGAUGAAGGCCUUCGGGUUGUAAACUGCUUUUGUACGGAACGAAACGGCCUUUUCUAAUAAAGAGGGCUAAUGACGGUACCGUAAGAAUAAGCACCGGCUAACUACGUGCCAGCAGCCGCGGUAAUACGUAGGGUGCAAGCGUUAAUCGGAAUUACUGGGCGUAAAGCGUGCGCAGGCGGUUAUGUAAGACAGUUGUGAAAUCCCCGGGCUCAACCUGGGAACUGCAUCUGUGACUGCAUAGCUAGAGUACGGUAGAGGGGGAUGGAAUUCCGCGUGUAGCAGUGAAAUGCGUAGAUAUGCGGAGGAACACCGAUGGCGAAGGCAAUCCCCUGGACCUGUACUGACGCUCAUGCACGAAAGCGUGGGGAGCAACCAGGAUUAGAUACCCUAGUAGUCCCAUGAU
RNAcentral lists this ribosomal RNA (477 nucleotides) under uncultured organism. RNAcentral describes it as "partial 16S ribosomal RNA". It matches the Rfam family "Bacterial small subunit ribosomal RNA", at positions 333 to 801 of the family's 1533-position model. The record is from RNAcentral.